This 119-nucleotide ribosomal RNA is filed under the name Oryza barthii. The record is from RNAcentral. RNAcentral also lists the same sequence under 1 other name. Lineage: Eukaryota; Viridiplantae; Streptophyta; Magnoliopsida; Poales; Poaceae.
GGAUGCGAUCAUACCAGCACUAAAGCACCGGAUUCCAUCAGAACUCCGAAGUUAAGCGUGCUUGGGCGAGAGUAGUACUAGGAUGGGUGACCUCCUGGGAAGUCCUCGUGUUGCAUCCC